Long non-coding RNA from Bos taurus (domestic cattle), 1066 nucleotides. The record is from Ensembl. NCBI's taxonomy places the organism in Eukaryota, Metazoa, Chordata, Mammalia, Artiodactyla, Bovidae.
GUACUCAAGAGCCCCUUUUAAAGACCCAGACCGGGGACGCCUCUGGUUUCAGCAGCUCCCUCCGCUGAGUUAUUGAUUGCAGGCAGCAGCAGUCCCUCAGGUUGAUUUGUGUGGAAAGUGAAUCCUCGCUGGAUAGGCGUUCAGCAGAGGCGCCGCAGCCGCAAAGCCAGCCAAUUAUUGCCGGUCCUCCCCUCCAACCCCGCGCUCACUACCUACACACUCCUUGCUGUGUCAGUCUCCACUUCCCCUCUACCCACGAUCCACCCCCCCUCCCCGCGCGGACGGAGCCGAGGGGGCGGUGGUGGGGGGGCUCCCUCCCCGGGAGCGUUUCUAGAGCUCGGAGGCAGCUCGCAGGGGAGACGUGUCCUGGGUGCAGAUCAGUGGGCAGCCUGGCUCUCGAGGAGGAAAUUUUACCGUUUUUGAAAAGUUUGACAGUCCACAUGUUUAAGUCUAACAGAAGAAAACAAAAAUCACUGGAUAUGAAGUUAUGAGACAGACCCAAGUCUACAUCUACAUCCUCAUGGUUGGUGACCUUGGAUAAAUUUCAUUUUUGUGCUUCUGUUUCAUUUUCUUUAAAAUGAGUAGUUGAAAGCUUCAAAGACUCAAAGAUUUCAUGAACUUAAAAGAAGACUGAUUGAAAGAAAUGCGUGGCCAUUAUUACCUCGCUGCUCAGUUUAUUCAUGGACACAUACUUGUUACAUACAUCUGAAGUUUCCUUAAGGAAAUGAACUCUGUGGAUGUGAUACUUGGCCAUUGGGAGAAGUGGAAUAAAUAAGAAAAAAAAAGGGGGAACAAGUUAGUGACAAAGGAGCCGUGGGCACCACUUUCAGAUAAAAACAUAGACCUGAAUGGCAUCAUCCAGUAUCCAAGGAAACCAUGCACUGUGGUGUAUCCUGAGCAGGACCGAGACAAGGGUGUUUUUCUUAAGAGCCACUGAUUUAGUCAAUUAUCAAAAAUCACAUUAUAAUAAAUGCUGUUCUAAGAAUUUUGAUUAACCUUUAAAUAAAUGUUACUUUGAAAAAAAAAACCCCUGCCAAAUGUGUUAAUAAUAAAUUGUGAAGUGGUA